GUCGUUAGCGAAAGCAAUUCAUCUAGGAGAGCAAACUCCGAUUACAAACCCGGGCAGGUGGAGGUCGUUAGCGAAAGCAAUUCAUCUAGGAGAGCAAACUCCGAUUACAAACCCGGGCAGGUGGAGGUCGUUAGCGAAAGCAGUUCACCUGGGAGAGCAAACUCCGAUUACAAACCCGGGCCGGUGAGGUUCGUUAGCCGUGGUAGGCAAUUCACCUAGGAGAGCAAACUCCGAUUACAAACCCGGGCAGGUGAGGUUCGUUAGCUGUGGUAGGCAAUUCACCUAGGAGAGCAAACUCCGAACAGUAAACCCGGGCAGGUUGGGCUCGUGAGCCGUCAUAGGUAAUUCACCUAGGAGAGCAAACUCCGAACAAUAAACCCGGGCAGGUUGGGCUCGUGAGCCGUCAUAGGUAAUACACCUAGGAGAGCAAACUCCGAUCAUAAAACCCGGGCAGGUUGGGCUCGUGAGCCGUCAUAGGUAAUACACCUAGGAGAGCAAACUCCGAUCAUAAAACCCGGGCAGGUUGGGCUCGUGAGCCGUCAUAGGUAAUACACCUAGGAGAGCAAACUCCAUACAUAAAACCCGGGCAGGUGGAGCUCGUCAGCCGUGGUGGGCAAUCUGCCUAGGAGAGCAAACUCCGAACAAUAAACCCGGGCAGGUGGAGCUCGUCAGCCGUGGUAGGCAGUCUGCCUAGGAGAGCAAACUCCGAACAAUAAACCCGGGCAGGUGGAGCUCGUCAGCCGUGGUGGGCAGUCUGCCUAGGAGAGCAAACUCCGAACAAUAAACCCGGGCAGGUGGAGCUCGUCAGCCGUGGUGGGCAGUCUGCCUAGGAGA
This is a long non-coding RNA of Eriocheir sinensis (Chinese mitten crab), 834 nucleotides long. RefSeq lists it as uncharacterized. The record is from RefSeq and is a predicted model, not a curated record. The transcript has 3 exons. Lineage: Eukaryota; Metazoa; Arthropoda; Malacostraca; Decapoda; Varunidae.